RNAcentral lists this unclassified non-coding RNA (356 nucleotides) under Hevea brasiliensis (rubber tree). The record is from RNAcentral. Lineage: Eukaryota; Viridiplantae; Streptophyta; Magnoliopsida; Malpighiales; Euphorbiaceae.
AUAGGCUUUUUGAUGAUGUUGGAAUCGAUAGCUUUUUUGAAACAAAGGACAUGUCGGCUGCCAAUUGUAACUACCAGAGUGAUUUUGCGGCAGAGGGAUGCUCUGCUGAGCAGGUGAAAGCAAUGCAAGGAGCAUGCAGCAACGCAAUAUCUGCUGAUUCGAUUAUGUCGAAUCAAGGAGCUAGGACAGAUCCUAACAUGUGCUUCCCGGCUAGGCAGACCGGUUCCAGCCUGUCCCUCUCGUUCUCCGGUUUGACCGGUGAGAGCAGUGCGGGAGAUUAUCAAGACUGUGGGAUGUCAUCUGCGCUUCUCAUGGGCGAGCCUCCAUGGCACCCUACUGGUCCUGAGGGCUCCUCG